Myotis lucifugus (little brown bat) is the source of this 96-nucleotide small nuclear RNA. The record is from Ensembl. Lineage: Eukaryota; Metazoa; Chordata; Mammalia; Chiroptera; Vespertilionidae.
GUGCUCACUUCAGCCGCACAUAUACUAAAAUUGGAACAAUACAGAGAAGAUUAGCACAAGGAUGAUAUGCAAAUUCAUGAAGCGUUCCAUAUUAAG